UUGUGCUUUUAAUUCCUGUGCUAGUAAGGUAGAGGCUAGUGGAAACCUGGAGCUUGCUGGCCGCUAGCCAAUUCUCAGGGCAAGCCCAAGGUCCCAGUGAAAGACUCUGUCUCAAAAAGAACAAAAUGUAUGGCCCCUGAAGAGUAACAGGUAAGGUUGACCUCUGGCCUUCAUACACACACGAAAAUCAUGAGCUUUUAAAAUGUAGGUCAUUCUCAUUAAUACCAAAGCAGAAAGACAACUGAUAAGUCUGUAGAUAUGUAGGUUGAACAUAAUUUCUUUAAAGCAAAGAGAUUAGGAUGCCUAAAGAAAAUAAUAGCAAAAAAAAAAAAAAAAAAAAAAAAAAAAAGCUAAAUACAACAAAACCAGGAAUGGUGUGGGGCAUGGUGUAUGCCACUAUUCCCAGCACAUGGAAGGUAGAAGCAGGAGGAUUAGAAGUUUAAGGCUACCUUGACUAUAUGCAAGUUUGAAGAUAGUUACACAAAACCAUGACUCAAAAAAAAAAAAAAAAGGUAAAGAUAGAUUGUUGGCUCUCACUAUUAUUUAUUAUGCUAAUUCUAUUAUAUAGGCUUGAGAUAUUUUUGAGAAAAAAAAUGUAUGACAAUAAUAAAAAGAAAUCAAGUAUGAAAAAUGAUUUCUGGGGCCAGUAAAAUGGCUCAGCAGGUGGCAGCAGAAGCCUGACAGGCUGAGUCUACCCUUGAAGCCUAGGUGAAAGGCUGGAUGGGGCAGUGUGCAUCUGCAACUACAGCAAGAGGCAGGGACAGGGAAAUCCGGCAGGAAGCCGACGGCCAGCAAGACUUGUAUGCAGCACAGCAGCAGAAACAAGAGACACCGCCUCAGCCAGGUGGUGGGCAAGACCAGACUCCGGGAAGUCAUUCUCUGACUAUCACACAUAUGCAAUGCAACGUGCGUAUGCUCCGUCACAGGCGUCCAUUCCCUCUGCUUCCACCCAAUGUAUGAAUAAAAAAUUUUAAUUCC
This 978-nucleotide long non-coding RNA is filed under the name Mus musculus (house mouse). Its description in RNAcentral is "long non-coding RNA chr16:38527731-38528709". Lineage: Eukaryota; Metazoa; Chordata; Mammalia; Rodentia; Muridae. The record is from RNAcentral.